GAUGAACGCACAAGACGUGCCUAACACAUGCAAAUCGAAUGAAAAUAAUUAAUUAUUGUUUUCAUGGUGAACGGGUGAGUAACACAUAAGAAUCAGCUUUUAGAUAAGGCAUAAAAGAGUAAUAUCUUGGUAAUUCCUUAUAUGCGCAGCAGUGCUUAAAAAGGGGAGUCCCGCCUAAAAACGAGCUUAUGCCUGAUUAGCUAGUUGGCGAGUUAAAAGCUCACCAAGGCGAAGAUCAGUAGCUGGCCUGAGAGGGCGGCCAGCCACAUUGGGACUGAGACACGGCCCAAACUCCUACGGGAGGCAGCAGUGGGGAAUCUUCUGCAAUGGGCGCAAGCCUGACAGAGCGGCGUCGUGUGAAGGAAGAAGGCCUGAAAUAGGUUGUAAACUUCUUUUACUGAGUAAUGAAUAAUGACAACGCAGUAAAAAAGUAUCGGCUAACUCCGUGCCAGCAGCCGCGGUAAUACGGGGGAUGCAAGCGUUAUCCGGAAUCACUGGGCGUAAAGCGUCUGUAGGUGGUUUAGUGUGUUCUUAGUUAAAUUAUGAAGCUUAACUUCAUGAAAAGUAAGAAAACUAUUAGACUUGAGUACGAUAGGGGUAAGAGGAAUUCUUCGAGAAGUAGUGAAAUGCGAAGAUACGAAGGAGAAGAUCAUAAGCGAAGGCUUCUUACUGGGUCGUAACUGACACUGAGAGACGAAAGCUAGGGGAGCGAAUGGGAUUAGAUACCCCAGUAGUCCUAGCUGUAAACGAUGGAUAUUCGGUGCC
RNAcentral lists this ribosomal RNA (765 nucleotides) under uncultured bacterium. RNAcentral describes it as "bacterial SSU rRNA". It matches the Rfam family "Bacterial small subunit ribosomal RNA", at positions 28 to 824 of the family's 1533-position model. The record is from RNAcentral.